UACGUAGGGGGCUAGCGUUGUCCGGAUUUAUUGGGCGUAAAGAGCGUGUAGGCGGCCAGGUAGGUCUGCUGUGAAAACUCGAGGCUCAACCUCGAGACGUCGGCGGAAACCAUCUGGCUAGAGUCCGGAAGAGGAGAGUGGAAUUCCUGGUGUAGCGGUGAAAUGCGUAGAGAUGUGGAGGAACACCAGUGGCGAAGGCGACUCUUUGGUCUGUAACUGACGCUGAGGCGCGAAAGCGUGGGGAGCAAACAGG
RNAcentral lists this ribosomal RNA (253 nucleotides) under uncultured bacterium. RNAcentral describes it as "partial 16S ribosomal RNA". It matches the Rfam family "Bacterial small subunit ribosomal RNA", at positions 524 to 776 of the family's 1533-position model. The record is from RNAcentral.